Molecule: long non-coding RNA, 261 nt
Filed under: Lathyrus oleraceus (garden pea)
Lineage: Eukaryota; Viridiplantae; Streptophyta; Magnoliopsida; Fabales; Fabaceae
Description: Pisum sativum (pea) long non-coding RNA (PSAT_LNC027729)
Source: RNAcentral
ACUCUUUAUCCAUGAUCCAUGAGAUGUGAUCUUCAGUCUACAAACAUAAUAGUCUUAAUGCUUUAAUGUUAUCCCACUUCACACUAAAGCUCGACUACGGAUACUUUAAGGAUAAUGUCCUUAUGUUUAAUGUGUUCUCAUGAUUAAGUCACACUUAAUACAUUAAACGGACUAUCUAUUCUAGGGACAUUAUUAAUCAACCAUAAUAAAGAAAAUGCCUUUAAAUAAUUCGAUACAAGUACCAAAAGUAUUGGCCUCUAG